Molecule: non-coding RNA, 2390 nt
Organism: Homo sapiens (human)
Lineage: Eukaryota; Metazoa; Chordata; Mammalia; Primates; Hominidae
Source: RefSeq, a predicted model, not a curated record
AGGCCAGGUCCUUUUGGUUCCAUGCGUGGGAGCCAGGUGCAAAGACGAAUGUGCUCUCAGCAGAACGACCCUGGGCUCUGCUUAUCUCCGAGGACAGGAUCUAAUCUCACACUGAAUUUCAGAAGGGAGACCGAUCAUGUUGGCAAUGCCCCCCUCCUGUAUGCAAAUAUUAAAAACCUUGUGUAGGAUCAGCAAGUGUGCCCAUACGGAAGGUCUGCACGGCUGCGAUGAGUCAUAAGAAAGAAGUGAGACCUGAUAAACAUCGAUGCGAAAAUCCUUAUGCAAAAAUUAAUUCAAGAUGGAUUAAAGACUUAAAUGUUAGACCUAAAACCGUAAAAACCCUAGAAGAAAACUUAGGCAAUACCAUUCAGGACAUAGGCAUGGGCAAGGACUUCAUGACUAAAACACCAAAAGCAAUGGCAACAAAAGCCAAAAUUGACAAAUGAGAUCUAAUUAAAGAGUUUCUGCACAGCAAUAGAAACCACUAUCAGAGUGAACAAGCAACCUACAAAAUGGGAGAAAAUUUUUGCAAUCUACCCAUCUGACAAAGGGCUAAUAUCCAGAAUCUACAAAAAAUGCAAACCAAUUUACAAGGAAAAAACAAACAACCCCAUCAAAAAGUGGGCGAAGGAUAUGAACAGACACUUCCCAAAGAAGACAUUUAUGCAGCCAACAGACACAUGAAAAAAUGUUCAUCAUCACUGGCCAUCAGAGAAAUGCAAAUCAAAACCACAAUGAGAUACCAUCUCACACCAGUUAGAAUGGCGAUCAUUAAAAAGUCAGGAAAACAAUAGAUGCUGGAGAGGAUGUGGAGAAAAGGAAUGCUUUUACACUGUUGGUGGGACUGUAAAGUAGUUCAACCAUUGUGGAAGACAGUGUGGCGAUUCCUCAAGCAUCUAGAACUAGAAAUACCAUUUGACCCAGCGAUCCAAUUACUUGGCAUAUACCCAAGGGACUAUAAAUCAUGCUGCUAUAAAGACACAUGCACACGUAUGUUUAUUGCAGCACUAUUUAAAAUAGCAAAGACUUGGAACCAACCCAAAUGUCCAUCAGUGCUAGACUGGAUUAAGAAAAUGUGGCACAUAUACACCAAGGAAUACUAUGCAGCCAUAAAAAAACGAUGAGUUCAUGUCCUUUUCAGGGACAUGGAUGCAGCUGGAAACCAUCAUUCUGAGCAAACUAUCGCAAGGACAGAAAACCAAACACCGCAUGUUCUCACUCAUAGGUGGGAAUUGAACAAUGAGAACACAUGGACACAGGGCGGGGAUCAUCAUAUCCCGUCUGUCGUGGGGUGGGGGUCAGGGGGAGGGAUAGCAUUAGGAGAAAUACCUAAUGUAAAUUACGAGUUAAUGGGUACAGCAAACCAACAUGGCACAUGUAUACCCUACGUAACAAACCUGCACGUUGUGCACAUGUACCCUAGAACUUAAAAUAUAAUUUAAAAAAAUUAAAAAAAGAAGGAAGAGUUCAUGGGGACCAGCUGCAGGGACCGCACUCACUCACCUCCACGGAGUAAUGUCCAUGGGCUGAAGAAAGCCUGGUGCAGCCACAGCCCGGGCAGGUCGGGGUGCUCCUGGAAGCUGGCGUCCAGCCUCCUCACCAGCGGGUGGAUCGUGGCAUGGCCGAAGCGGAAGGCGGCUGUGGAGAACACGUUGGACACAGUGGGGUUGGCGGUGGAGUCAUAGCCUUCAUAGGGACCCACGUACUGCUGGAAGGCCUCGGGUCCCAGGAUCCUGGGGAUGUAAUCCCUCAGGGUGAUGAUCUGUGCAGAUAGGAAAAGCAUCUCAGUGAGGCCCAGGAUACCAGAGGAGGGUCGCCUCGAGCGGCAGUGUGGAAGAGCAUCUUCCUUGACAGCCCCAGGGAACUGGACCCUUCUCGUCUUGUAAUAAGGGCCUCAGCUGAACUUCCCAGAAAUGCCUUCUUGCUGAUUUUUUCAUGGAUAUUCAGGAGGUGCGUUUAUAGGGCUGACUAGAGAGCCUCCUUCCCAGGAUGGUGAUGGGGCUGGCAGUGGCAAGAGACAGCACCUCUGUCGAGCCAACAAUGGCCACCGGGCCAGGCUGGGCAGCUAGACUCCUGGCUGGAUGAUUGACAGUGGGGAGCAGUUCCUUUUUCUACAAAGCAACAAUAAUACCUAAUUCCCAGAGCCUUUGUGAGGAUUAAAUCAAAGCAUGUUGUAUGGCAGAGAGCUCUGUCGAUGGAAAAUUACAGUUGCAAUCACAGGGCCUGGAAAUUACGAUUUGAUACAUGGUCCCAGGAGAAUUAUGUACCAAGAUUCUACUUUCAGGUUUAACAGUGUUUCUUUCAGACAGAAAAAUCAGUGUCAAGUUGUUUUGGUAUUUAAGGGGAAUAUUUUGGUCAAUAAACUGCAUCCAAAUGAAGCAUAAUAGGAA